AGUGAACGCUGGCGGUAGGCCUAACACAUGCAAGUCGAACGGCAGCACAGUAAGAGCUUGCUCUUACGGGUGGCGAGUGGCGGACGGGUGAGGAAUACAUCGGAAUCUACUUUUUCGUGGGGGAUAACGUAGGGAAACUUACGCUAAUACCGCAUACGACCUACGGGUGAAAGCAGGGGAUCUUCGGACCUUGCGCGAUUGAAUGAGCCGAUGUCGGAUUAGCUAGUUGGCGGGGUAAAGGCCCACCAAGGCGACGAUCCGUAGCUGGUCUGAGAGGAUGAUCAGCCACACUGGAACUGAGACACGGUCCGGACUCCUACGGGGGGCAGCAGUGGGGAAUAUUGGACAAUGGGCGCAAGCCUGAUCCAGCCAUACCGCGUGGGUGAAGAAGGCCUUCGGGUUGUAAAGCCCUUUUGUUGGGAAAGAAAAGCAGCAGGUUAAUACCCCGCUGUUCUGACGGUACCCAAAGAAUAAGCACCGGCUAACUUCGUG
This 492-nucleotide ribosomal RNA is filed under the name uncultured bacterium. RNAcentral's name for it is "partial 16S ribosomal RNA". It matches the Rfam family "Bacterial small subunit ribosomal RNA", at positions 29 to 507 of the family's 1533-position model. The record is from RNAcentral.